This 558-nucleotide ribosomal RNA is filed under the name Halorubrum sp. Atlit-9R. RNAcentral describes it as "bacterial LSU rRNA". It matches the Rfam family "Bacterial large subunit ribosomal RNA", at positions 2268 to 2825 of the family's 2925-position model. Lineage: Archaea; Methanobacteriati; Methanobacteriota; Halobacteria; Halobacteriales; Haloferacaceae. The record is from RNAcentral.
GUUUGACUGGGGCGGUCGCCUCCUAAAAUGUAACGGAGGCGCCCAAGGGUUCCCUCAGAAUGGUUGGAAAUCAUUCGAAGAGUGCAAAGGCAUAAGGGAGCUUGACUGCGAGACCUACAAGUCGAGCAGGGACGAAAGUCGGGCUUAGUGAUCCGGUGGUACCGAAUGGAAGGGCCAUCGCUCAACGGAUAAAAGCUACCCUGGGGAUAACAGGCUUAUCUCCCCCAAGAGUCCACAUCGACGGGGAGGUUUGGCACCUCGAUGUCGGCUCAUCGCAUCCUGGGACUGAAGUAGGUCCCAAGGGUUGGGCUGUUCGCCCAUUAAAGCGGUACGCGAGCUGGGUUCAGAACGUCGUGAGACAGUUCGGUCCCUAUCCGUCGUGGGCGUAGGAAAUUUGAGAGGAGCUGUCCUUAGUACGAGAGGACCGGGAUGGACAUACCUCUGGUGUACCAGUUGUCGUGCCAACGGCAUAGCUGGGUAGCUAUGUGUGGACGGGAUAAGUGCUGAAAGCAUCUAAGCAUGAAGCCCCCCUCAAGAUGAGAUUUCCCAACUUCGGUA